AAGAGCCAUGAGCUAAUAGAUCAC
RNAcentral lists this non-coding RNA (24 nucleotides) under Arabidopsis thaliana (thale cress). The record is from RNAcentral. Lineage: Eukaryota; Viridiplantae; Streptophyta; Magnoliopsida; Brassicales; Brassicaceae.